RNAcentral lists this long non-coding RNA (5245 nucleotides) under Brassica napus (rape). RNAcentral describes it as "long non-coding RNA (BNAP_LNC026595)". Lineage: Eukaryota; Viridiplantae; Streptophyta; Magnoliopsida; Brassicales; Brassicaceae. The record is from RNAcentral.
UGUUUGACGAGAGAGUCACAAGGAAUAAGCAGAUUGACUUCAAGGAAAUGGUCAAGCUUGCAUGCUUCAUAGUUGAGUUGAACGAACUCGAGUGCUUUGUAUCCUUGAUUGAACCUAAAACACUUCAUGAAGCACUGAAUGAUGAGUUUUGGACCGAGUCUAUGCAUCAAGAGCUUGAGCAGUUUGAUCGAUUACAAGUAUGGGAACUCGUUUCACGCCCUGACGGUGUCAACAUCAUUGGCACUAAAUGGAUUCACAAGAAUAAGACUGAUGAAAGUGGGAACGUUGUCAGAAACAAAUCCAGACUUGUGGGACAAGGCUACACACAAAUCAAAGGUGUGGACUUUGAUGAGACAUUUGCUCCGGUUGCACGACUAGAGUCGAUCAGACUAUUAUUCGGGAUGGCAUGCAAUCUGAAGAUCAAACUGUAUCAAAUGGAUGUGAAAAGUGCAUUCCUGAAUGGUGUGUUACAGGAAUAAGUCUAUGUCACACAGCCUAAGGGGUUCGAGGAUCCUCACUUCCCUGAUCAUGUCUACAAACUAAAGAAGGCACUGUAUGGGCUUAAACCGGCUCCCCAAGCAUGGUAUGACCGAUUGAAAGAGUUCCUGACUCAGGCUGGGUUUCAAAGAGGAGGAGUUGAUAAAACUUUGUUUAUUGGUGAGAAUGGAAGAGACAUACUUGUCGUCCAAGUCUAUGUUGAUGAUAUCAUAUUCGGAGGAACCUCUCAGUCCAUGGUUGAUGAGUUUGUAAGAACAAUGACCAAGGAGUUCGAAAUGAGUAUGGUGGGUGACCUAAGCUAUUUUCUUGGACUGCAAGUCAAGCAGCUUGAUGAUGGGAUCACGGUAUCACAAAGCACAUAUGCAAAAAAAUCUUAUUAAGAGAUUUGGGAUGCAGACGAGUAAGACAGCCAAUACUCCUAUGAGCACAACUACAAAGCUGUCACGAGAUGAUGAUGGGAAACCUGUCGAUGAGAAGCUCUAUAGAGCCAUAGGCAGUCUGCUAUACCUUACUCCGAGUCGACCUGAUCUAUGUCUGAGCGUAGGUAUUUGUGCUCGAUGACAAGCCUGUCCAAAGGAAUCACAUAUGAAUGCAGUUAAACGCAUUAUCAAAUAUGUAAAAGGUACGCUGGAUUUCGGUCUACAUUAUUCCUUUGAAACUAACGUGAAUUUUGCAGGUUUCUGUGAUGCUGACUGGGCAGGGUGCUUGGAUGACAGACAUAGCACAUCUGGUGGAUGUUUCUUCGUUGGAAACAACUUGGUAGCUUGGCAUAGCAAGAAGCAAAACUGUGUCUCUCUCUCAACCGCCAAGGCUGAGUAUAUCGCCCUAGGGAGUUGUUGCACUCAAUUACUAUGGAUGCGCCAAAUGCUCGUGGAUUAUGGUAUCAUAUACUACUAACAGGUUGAGAUCAUGUGGAUUUCAUGGACACCAUGAUGGAACUAUUCGAAAUUCAUAAACCUAUCAUGCUGGACAGUUGCAACUUCGGUCAUUGAUCAGAGGAAUUGAUGAGGAUGCGUGGACUGCAGUAGAAGAAGGUUGGUCUGUUCCUACAAUGAUGACCGAUGACAAAACCUUGGCCCCAAAGCCAAAAGAUAGGUGGACUGAUCAAGAGAAGGCAGCAUCGAAGUUCAACUCUAAAGCCCUCACUGCGAUCUUCCCUUCGGUGGAUCUGGACCAAUUCAAAAUAUUCAGGGCUGUGAGUCUGCUAUAGAGGCAUGGGAUAAUUUGACCAAUCACUUUGAAGGAAAUACUAGCAUGCGGAGAACAAGGAUCGAUCACUUAGCUUCAAAGUUUGAAAAUCUUCGCAUGACUGAUGAUGAACCAAUUGACUGAUUCAUUUCAAAGAUCAGUGAACUUGCUAGCGAAGCUUCAGUUCUUGAAAAGAAAUAUGAUGAGAGGGAUUUGGUGAAAAAGCUGUUAAGAUGUCUACCUCCACGAUUUGAAGCAUACAAGAUUGUAUUGGAUAUAGUCGUUAAUACUGAUGAGAUAAAUUUGAUCAAUUGUCUGGUAUCUUGAAGGUUCAUGAUCUGGAGAAAGCUAAUCGAACUGCAAUUUCUCAAAAGAGCAUCGCAUUUGUAGCUGACUCUAAAGAGCAGGAUCGAGUCAUAAAGAUCGAAGAGAACUUGGGACUAAUGGCUCGAAACUUCAACAAGUUCAUCAAGCGAAUGGAGAAAGGAGGAAAUCGAUCCAACUCACGAUUUCAGAGGAAUUACUCAGAUCGAAACAGCUCUCAAUACACUAGGCAAGACUCGAAGAACUCUAAGAAGAAGGAGUUGCAGUGCCAUGAGUGUGAAGGCUAUGGGCAUUUUCGCAAUGGGUGUCCGCUAGCUAAACGAAAAGAGCUGAAGUGCAUCGACUGCAAGGGCUUUGGUCACACUCGAAGUGAAUGUCCUAAUAAUUUGAAAAAGGACAAGUCACUCAUGUGUUUCAGUGAUACAGACUCAGAGAGUGACAGCGAUGGAGAUGAGCUACAUGUAAACUUUAUGGCACUUGUCUGUAAGGAAGAAGAACCAAAACUGGAUUCAGCCGUGGAAGAGGAUGGAGAUGAUCUCAACAACGAUCUUGAAACAAAAUACAAGUCUCUGUUCGACAAAUUUGCUGAACUCAGCCAUGAGAACCUGCAACUACUGAAAGAUAUAGUCAUGCUAAAAGCUCAGGUGAAUAUCUUGGAAUUGGAGAAACCCUCGAAUCAAGUUGCUGAAUUAUCAAUCCUAAAGAGAGCGAUGACAGAACAUGAGAGGGUGCAGAAGCAGGUUGAACUGAAGGUAAGUCAUAUGAAUGAUCUAAUAACCAAGGAGAUGGACAGGAGCAAAUUACUUGAAAAUCAACUCGCUGACAAUCUCAAGAGAGUAAGAAUGCUCACUACUGGUACUACAACUCUGGAUCAUCUUCUCACCAUUGGUCAGUGUCCCAGCAGCAGUUUAGGAUUAGGUUUUCAAUGCUCUACAUCCAAAUCUGCUGAAGAAACUGUAUUUGUGAAAGGAAGUUCGAAAGAAAAAGAAAUCCAAGUCUCGACAAAGGUUCAGACUGAUAAUCAGAAAAGUGGGAACCUGAAGAAGACUACUACUACGCAACGAGGAAAUGGAUGCCACUUCUGUGGAAAGCGUGUUCAUAACGUCAGAUUCUGCUACUUCUGGAAAAAUAAGUAUCAACGAGCCUGGAGAAUGAAUCUUUGUUUUAUGAAACCAUCCUUGUAUGGUCAUGUUUGGAUAGCUAAGUUGUACCCGAACUACAAGCAGAGAGUCUCGACUGUCGCACACAGUGAGAAGAAUGAAAUACGCACUGACGCAGAGCAACCUAUCAUUUGUAACCUUGCGAGCCUAUCCACUGAAACUGAGUUAGUGAGCAACAUCGCAUACACAAGUUCUGAUUCCAGCCCACAGUUUCAUACUCCCUGGUACUUUGACAGUGGCUGCUCAAAACAUAUGACGGGAAAUCAAGAUUUCUUUGAGAAGCUCGAGUUUAUCAAAGGAGGCAAAGUGACCUUCGGUGAUGGUGGUCAAGGAAAGAUACGAGGAGUGGGGGAACUGGAUAAGACAGUUUUACCUAGGCUCAUUAAUUUCUUCUAUGUGGAUGGUCUUAAGGCAAACCUCAUCAGUGUCAGCCAACUGUGUUAUGAGGGAUUAGAAGUUAUCUUCAACAUCAAAGUAUGUCGAGCUGUCGAUACUAAAGGAAAUGUGGUUCUAUGCGGUGUGCGAUCUGGAAACAACUGUUAUAUGUGGAAGCCAUCACAUUUGUGUUACUCGGCUAAAGAGUCUAAGUUGGAUCUGUGGCACAAGAGGCUCAGACAUAUGAAUACUAAUGGUCUUACCCGGCUGGUCAAUGCUGAGGUUGUCAGGGGAGUUCCAGAACUAGAGAAACAAACUGACACUGUGUGUGGAGGUUGUUGUCAGCGAAAACAGGUUAAAGUUCAAUACAAGGAGAUAUCUGAGAUCAGAUCCAAGGGGAUGCUGGAGCUGGUGCAUAUGGAUCUUAUGGGACCAAUCAUGCCAAACAACAUUGCGGGAAAAAGAUACAUCUUUGUUCUUGUAGAUGACUUUUCCAGAUACAUUUGGGUAAACUUCCUAAGGAACAAAUCUGACGCAUUGGAGAGUUUUUGCAUUCUGGCCCUGCAACUUAAACAGGAGAAGGGCGGCAUAGUGCAGAUCAAGAGUGAUCAUGGAGGGGAGUUUCAAAAUGAAGAAUUUGAUAAAUUCUGUCACAGUCAAGGAAUCCAACAUAAUUAUGCAGCUCCCAGAACUCCUCAACAGAAUGAAGUAGUGGAAAGGAAAAAUAGGACACUGCAGGAAUUGGCUAGAGCUAUGCUUUGUGGAAAUAGUGUACCAUCCGGUUUUUGGGCAGAGGCUAUGGCUAUUGCAUGUUAUGUUAUAAAUUGUGUGUAUGUCAAGCCUAACACAAAAACUACUCCAUAUGAAGUGUUCAAGGGAAAGACGCCAAACCUCAGUCAUAUGCAUGUCUUUGGUUGUCUAUGCUACAUCUUGAAUGAUAAAGAUCAUCUCGGGAAGUUUGAUGCAAAAAGUGAUGUUGGGAUGUUUCUAGGAUAUUGAACAAAUAGCUCAGCAUACAGAGUGUUCAAUCAACGUACAAAGUUCAUUGGAGAUAGUGUAAAUGUUGUGUUUGAUGAUAGUAUCGGAUUCUAUCAAGCACGAGUAACUCAGAAAAUUGAGUGUGUCACACAGCCGACUUCAUCAUCCUCUGAGGUAAAAAUCAAAGACGAGUUAGAAGGAGAGGAUGACCCGACCAGGGAACAGCGUGUUGAUCUGGAUCAAGCCAAAGUGCAUAAAAAUCAUUCGUCUGCUCCUGUGAUUGGUGGAGUGUUUGACGAGAGAGUCACAAGGAAUAAGCAGAUUGACUUCAAGGAAAUGGUCAAGCUUGCAUGCUUCAUAGUUGAGUUGAACGAACUCGAGUGCUUUGUAUCCUUGAUUAAACCUAAAACACUUCAUGAAGCACUGAAUGAUGAGUUUUGGACCGAGUCUAUGCAUCAAGAGCUUGAGCAGUUUGAUCGAUUACAAGUAUGGGAACUCGUUUCACGCCCUGACGGUGUCAACAUCAUUGGCACUAAAUGGAUUCACAAGAAUAAGACUGAUGAAAGUGGGAACGUUGUCAGAAACAAAUCCAGACUUGUGGGACAAGGCUACACACAAAUCAAAGGUGUGGACUUUGAUGAGACAUUUGCUCCGGUUGCACGACUAGAGUCGAUCAGACUAUUAUUCGGGAUGGCAUGCAAUCUGAAGAUCAAACUGUAUCA